This 376-nucleotide unclassified non-coding RNA is filed under the name Hevea brasiliensis (rubber tree). The record is from RNAcentral. Lineage: Eukaryota; Viridiplantae; Streptophyta; Magnoliopsida; Malpighiales; Euphorbiaceae.
GAAAAGUUCAUCUGGGUGUUUGAUAAUUAAGAAGAAAGAUGAUAGAAUAGGUAUGGGUGGAGGAGGGGGUGUGGGUACUUCAAGGGGUUCACAGAAGGUGAAAAAGAGGCCUAGAAUGGUUGAGAGUGCUUCGGAGUCGAGUGAAGAGUCAUUGGAGCCAAUUAGGAGAAAGGGUGGAGAGAAAUUUCACAAUGGGUCAGUUGGCAGUGCAAAAAGUGGCGUGGAAAGUAGAGAUUUUGGUAGGAAUGAGAAUAUUGAAAGUGAGAGUAAGAGAAGUAAGUUAGAUUUGUUUGAUUUCGACGAAUACGAUGAAUUCAAUGAGGCGAUGAAGUGGAAUGCUGCAAGAACUGGGAUUUCUAGUAGGAAUAUGAUGAUU